This 500-nucleotide ribosomal RNA is filed under the name uncultured bacterium. RNAcentral's name for it is "partial 16S ribosomal RNA". It matches the Rfam family "Bacterial small subunit ribosomal RNA", at positions 28 to 523 of the family's 1533-position model. The record is from RNAcentral.
GAUGAACGCUAGCGGCAGGCUUAAUACAUGCAAGUCGAGGGACAGCACAGGUAGCAAUACUGGGUGGUAACCGGCAAACGGGUGCGGAACACGUACACAACCUUCCUUUAAGUGGGGGAUAGCCCAGAGAAAUUUGGAUUAAUACCCCGUAAUAUAGUUGAAUGGCAUCAUUUGAUUAUUAUAGCUACGGCGCUUAAUGAUGGGUGUGCGGCUGAUUAGAUAGUUGGCGGGGUAACGGCCCACCAAGUCUACGAUCAGUAGCUGAUGUGAGAGCAUGAUCAGCCACACGGGAACUGAGACACGGGCCCGACUCCUACGGGAGGCAGCAGUAAGGAAUAGUGGUCAAUGGACGCAAGUCUGAACCAGCCAUGCCGCGUGAAGGAUUAAGGUCCUCUGGAUUGUAAACUUCUUUUAUUUGGGACGAAAAAGGGCCUUUCUAGGUCAACUGACGGUACCAGAUGAAUAAGCACCGGCUAACUCCGUGCCAGCCGCCGCAGUAA